CUUAUUGGUUACAUUCACUAUGUACCCAUUUAUAAGAAUUCCAUUUCCUCUCUUUCUAGUUGGGCUUAUUGGUUUCAUUAAGUGGGUGCCCAUUUGCAAGAAUUUCAUCUCAUCUCUUUCCAAUCGUCACAAAGCUCUUUGCCUCUCUACUAACCCUAAAUCUGAAAUUAUGGCCGCCGGUUAACUAAACGAGCUCUCCAACCAACCAAAAUGCCAUUUUCGAUCUGCACUUAGCUAUUUGCUUCUCUGUGCUAACUCUAAAUCUGAAUCGUUGGCUGCCAAUUAACCAAAACGAACUCUCCAACUACAAAAAUCUUCGUCCUCGAUCUGAAAUCCUUCUUUUCUUGGCAUGUUUUGCUUGUUAUGGUAAGAUUUUUGUGAGUUGCCUUUUUAUAUCUUCUCUCUUGAUCAGAUUCUCAUUUAUUUUAUAAUUGGAUUUUGUUGAUGCUAUGGAUUUCAAGCAUUGAGGCUCCAAUCUUCGAUCUUCACUGUUGAACCAAAUGACCUCUCCAGUGGCCUAAGCAUCAAUCUUCAAUCUUUAGUGUUUCGUCGCAUUUUGCUUGCUAUGGUAAGAUUUUUGCCGAGCUGCCUCUUUAUCUCUUAUGCAUCGAUCCGUUUUCACUCUUAUUGAAGUUCUAUAGUCGCCCUUUCGCUGUUGGCAAAUUCUUUUGAGUUUUCAUUGUGGAGAAUGCUAGCGUUCACCUAGCUAUUCUAUAUAACAUGUUCUAUUCGUUCUAUUCUUUUGAUUGAUUAUUUAUGAUUUUAUAAUCGAAAAUCUACUUCAUUUGUGUGAAUGAAUGGAUUAUGGAAUUGUCAACAAAUUUUUAUGUUUUAACAUACUUGUCAUUAUAUGGAAAGAAGUUAUUCUCGUUGCAAUUGAAAACUAAGCAUUUUAAGUAAUUAUUGUUAUACUCGGUUCACAUAUGACGUUAAUUAUUGUAGGCUGAUUAUAGUAAAACCCUUGGAAGGGAUUCUGUUGAUGGAGUAUUUAUUGAUUUUUCUAAAAAUUUGUUUAGAUUUGGAGUUAAAAGUUAACUUAUAAACGAUCUCUUUUGAAAAUCACUUUUUUGCUUUAUCUUUUAUAUAGAUUUGAGUUCUCUAUUACCUUUUCUUGGUUGAAUGAAACUAGAAUUUCCUAUUUGUAAUGUACCUAUAAAAUAAGUGUUGUUUGAUUAACUUUUGACUUUACUACUCUCAUAGUCAUUGGAAAUAAUAUUAUUUCAGUAGCGUCAUAUGACCUAUGAUAAAUUGGUUUGAUGUAAAUUUUAGAAACUAUAAGAUCAAAACUUUCAAUAACUACAUUAAGUAGCAUUCAUCAAUGUAACUUUUUGUUUCCUAUCUCAUAUAGCUGUUCUUAUUUUUUCAUUGCUUCUUCAUUGACGAACCAUCAACACUAGUACGAAACACACAAUUCAAUUAAAACUGGCCAACCAUAAUCUGUAAAACAUUACAAAACUGACAAACGGAUCAUCUUUGGUGGUUUGUUCAUCAAAUAUGAAAUUUUUAGCUUGAAUAAGGACCAUUCACUAAGUCUCAAUUAGACUUUCAGUGUGUGAGUCAACUUUAUGUCAUGGUUCCAGGGCUGUCUUGUUGGUGAUGGUUUAAAAAGUUAGAGGGCUUUGAACUUGUUGAAGCAUUAUGUAUGGUGUCAACUUAUGGUUGAUUUGGGACUAGGGAAAAUGAUAGUGUAACUGAGACACCAAACAUUGUACCUACAAUUAAUGUUGAUGUUGCUCGUGAUUGUGUAACUGAGGCACUAAGUGUCAAUUGAUGUUGUUCGUGAUAGUUUAAUUGAGGCACCAAACACUGUACCUACAGCUGAUGUCUCAAUCGACACUCCACCGAUUGACGAUACCAUCGUUGCUGAACCCUUGAAUAUUACUGAUCCCCCUUAUGUAAACCUCGAUCGUUGAGGCUAAAAUGCUUAGUGCGAACACUAAGAGACCAUUCACAUGAUCCGGCUGCAAGAGAGGUAAGAAGGAUGUGUAGCAUGUGUAGACUGCAAUUCCAGUAGUUUUACUCAUUGUCUGGACUGGUUGUUCGAUAUUUUGUCAAUGCGAACUUGUGCUUGCUCGGAAGGUUGCAUGCUGAAAGUAGUUUAUAACUGUAAUAUUUCUUAUUGUGGGCUUGUAAUAGACACAAGUAAGAUAAAGACUAUUUCAUGUUGCAAGGAACGUCUAUUUUUUAAGUUUUCUAUAUUAUAGACUGUAUUUCGUUGUAAUGAUUUCAGUUAUUAUUUAAUGUCUUAGCAUAUUUGCUAUGAUCGUGUUGACUCAGCUACUGUGAAACAUUCGUCCUCUUCCAAGGUCUAUAGGGUUUCUUUUUCCCAGUUCCAUAUUAGCAUAUGAGAAUGAAAUUGUGAUUAUUGUUUUUUCAAUUAAUAAAUCUUUGUAGCUUAUUUUGGUAAAUAAUGAAAAAGUCUUAGUGGAAUAUUCUCUUUGGUUACAUGAC
This 2451-nucleotide long non-coding RNA is filed under the name Olea europaea subsp. europaea. The record is from RNAcentral. Lineage: Eukaryota; Viridiplantae; Streptophyta; Magnoliopsida; Lamiales; Oleaceae.